AGAGAGUUCAUAGGACGUGAAACCGUUUGUAGGUAAACAGAUGGAACCACGAAGUUUGCUGAGGCGGAGAUUCAACUGUUCUGACUUGGACAGUCAAAGGUACCGUAUUUGGUUCUCUCAGGAGGGCAGGUGCCGGUGGCAAUCAAUGUCUGAGUUAGGCGGUGCAUUUCUUCAGUCUCAUGCUAAUGCCAUGACCAAUUAGAGGGCUAGUGCGUCCGUAAGCGACGGUCGCGAGCAGGUAACUGGGUACGGGUCUCCUGUACGCCAGUAUUAUAGCUCGUGGCCGGGUUUGCAGCACUUAGUGUACUGAUUGGCUCAAUUUCUCCACUUUUGUGGGGUUUGCAGUAAUGGGUGCGCACAGUAUUGUGGCCGAGGCCUUGUAUGUCUGUUUGUUUGUUUUGUACUUUCGUACGUAACAGCAGACUGGGCGUAUGGGUCUAUGCUGGCUAUGAUAGCUCUGUGUGUGCUUGCUUUGCAAUCGAUGGCUAGUAGGUCGGUAUCCAUCUGACCCGUCUUGAAACACGGACCAAGGAGUCUAACAUGUGCGCGAGUCACUCGGUCUUGAAUAGGCCAGAGAGGCGCAAUGAAAGUAAAGUUGAUUGAGUUACGAUCCUCAUGUUGUUAUUGCUUGUCGGUAACACUGGGGCGCAGUAACGGCCCGCCAGUUCCACUUAUUGUUGGUUUGGCGGAGUCAUAGCGUACACGUUGGUACCCGAAAGAUGGUGAGCUUUGCCUGGGCAAGACGAAGCCAGAGGAAACUCUGGUGGAGGUCUGUAGCGAUUCUGACGUGCAAAUCGAUCGUCAGAC
This 807-nucleotide ribosomal RNA is filed under the name Paralamellobates misella. Its description in RNAcentral is "eukaryotic LSU rRNA". It matches the Rfam family "Eukaryotic large subunit ribosomal RNA", at positions 382 to 910 of the family's 3401-position model. The record is from RNAcentral. Lineage: Eukaryota; Metazoa; Arthropoda; Arachnida; Sarcoptiformes; Punctoribatidae.